RNAcentral lists this ribosomal RNA (497 nucleotides) under uncultured bacterium. Its description in RNAcentral is "partial 16S ribosomal RNA". It matches the Rfam family "Bacterial small subunit ribosomal RNA", at positions 28 to 507 of the family's 1533-position model. The record is from RNAcentral.
GAUGAACGCUGGCGGCGUGCCUAAUACAUGCAAGUCGAGCGAACAGACGAGGAGCUUGCUCCUCUGACGUUAGCGGCGGACGGGUGAGUAACACGUGGAUAACCUACCUAUAAGACUGGGAUAACUUCGGGAAACCGGAGCUAAUACCGGAUAAUAUAUUGAACCGCAUGGUUCAAUAGUGAAAGACGGUUUUGCUGUCACUUAUAGAUGGAUCCGCGCCGCAUUAGCUAGUUGGUAAGGUAACGGCUUACCAAGGCGACGAUGCGUAGCCGACCUGAGAGGGUGAUAGGCCACACUGGAACUGAGACACGGUCCAGACGCCUACGGGAGGCAGCAGUAGGGAAUCUUACGCAAUGGGCGAAAGCAUGACGGAGCAACGCCGCGUGAGUGAUGAAGGUCUUCGGAUCGUAAAACUCUGUUAUUAGGGAAGAACAAAUGUGUAAGUAACUAUGCACGUCUUGACGGUACCUAAUCAGAAAGCCACGGCUAACUACGUG